GAUGAACGCUGGCGGCGUGCUUAACACAUGCAAGUCGAACGAUGAAGCCCAGCUUGCUGGGUGGAUUAGUGGCGAACGGGUGAGUAACACGUGAGUAACCUGCCCUUAACUCUGGGAUAAGCCUGGGAAACUGGGUCUAAUACCGGAUAGGAGCGUCCACCGCAUGGUGGGUGUUGGAAAGAUUUAUCGGUUUUGGAUGGACUCGCGGCCUAUCAGCUUGUUGGUGAGGUAAUGGCUCACCAAGGCGACGACGGGUAGCCGGCCUGAGAGGGAGACCGGCCACACUGGGACUGAGACACGGCCCAGACUCCUACGGGAGGCAGCAGUGGGGAAUAUUGCACAAUGGGCGCAAGCCUGAUGCAGCGACGCCGCGUGAGGGAUGACGGCCUUCGGGUUGUAAACCUCUUUCAGUAGGGAAGAAGCGAAAGUGACGGUACCUGCAGAAGAAGCACCGGCUAACUACGUG
This 466-nucleotide ribosomal RNA is filed under the name uncultured bacterium. Its description in RNAcentral is "partial 16S ribosomal RNA". It matches the Rfam family "Bacterial small subunit ribosomal RNA", at positions 28 to 507 of the family's 1533-position model. The record is from RNAcentral.